Molecule: long non-coding RNA, 905 nt
Organism: Sarcophilus harrisii (Tasmanian devil)
Lineage: Eukaryota; Metazoa; Chordata; Mammalia; Dasyuromorphia; Dasyuridae
Exons: 3
Source: RefSeq, a predicted model, not a curated record
CCAUGAGUCCUUGAGGAAGAUCACCAUAAUUUGGGGCAGCUCUGAUCACUUCUUCCUUCUAAGACCAAGCCAAACAAAUCCAAGUCUUCUUCCAUUUCACAUCUUUCCAAAUACUAGAAGAUAGCUCUCAUAGGGACUUUGCCUUCUUUUCUCUAAGCUCAACAUAGUCAAUACCACAAGCUGAUAUUCCCUUUGAGCUAUCUGAGCUCUCCUUCCCAUCUGUGUUCAUCUAUACUUAACACCUUCCAGCUUGCCCACUGUCUUCCUAGGAUUGGGUGUCCAGAACAGAAUAUACUAUUCAUUUCCUUGAAAAUAAAUCACAAACCUUUUUACAGAUGUAACUUAAAAAUAACCCUUCUAUCCGCCUUGCCCAAUGCAUUGUCUGCUUUAAAAUAGGGAUUAAAAAAAAAACUGUCUGUGGAGGAAAAAUUAUGAUGUUUCACUGAGAUAAUUUCAAGGACCGAAAAGCAGAAAAAGGUGCAAUCAAUCCACAAGCAUUUGUUAUAUUGUGUUAAAGGCAUUGGCUGGAUACCAGGAAUACAAAUACAAGAAGAACAAUCCACACUCACCAGGAGCUCACAAUCUAAUGAAGAAGACCAUUCUAUGGGGCAAUCAUUCGAUGGUGUUUGGAGUGCUCAGUCUCUAAGAGAAAAAUCUCAGAGAAGGUUAAAAAGGUUUUCAAGUACCUGAAGAGCUGUCAUGUGCAAGAAGGAUCUGAUUUCAUUCUAUUGGGCUUCAGGAUUGGGACAGAACCAGGCACGAUGAGAAUGGAGUAAUAAGCAGCAAAUAUUCAGAGGAUACUGAUGAGUUGCCUCAGUCCUAAUCCCAGACAGCUGUCUCAAAAGCUAAUGGCCCCAAAGGAGACUAGGAAAGAGGAUAUGAAUGAUGCAUUGCCAAUCCAUCAU